Molecule: unclassified non-coding RNA, 354 nt
Filed under: soil metagenome
Description: partial contains 5.8S ribosomal RNA, internal transcribed spacer 2, and large subunit ribosomal RNA
Rfam family: 5.8S ribosomal RNA (bases 1-120)
Source: RNAcentral
GAUGAAGAACGCAGCGAAACGCGAUAUGUAAUGUGAAUUGCAGAAUUCAGUGAAUCAUCGAAUCUUUGAACGCACAUGGCGCCUUCCAGUAUCCUGGGAGGCAUGCCUGUCCGAGCGUCGUUUCAACCCUCGAGCCCCCGUGGCCCGGCGUUGGGGAUCUGCCCAGGCAGUCCCCGAAAACCAGUGGCGGACCCGUUACAGGCCCUUCCCUUGCGUAGUAGCAUUCGCCUCGCAUCGGGAGCCGGCGGGCUUCCAGCCUCUAAACCCCCAUCAAGUCCGCCCCGGCGGCACCAAGGUUGACCUUGGAUCAGGUAGGAAUACCCGCUGAACUUAAGCAUAUCAAUAAGCGGAGGA